RNAcentral lists this ribosomal RNA (253 nucleotides) under uncultured bacterium. Its description in RNAcentral is "partial 16S ribosomal RNA". It matches the Rfam family "Bacterial small subunit ribosomal RNA", at positions 524 to 776 of the family's 1533-position model. The record is from RNAcentral.
UACGUAGGGUGCAAGCGUUGUCCGGAAUUAUUGGGCGUAAAGAGCUCGUAGGCGGUCUGUCACGUCGGCUGUGAAAUCCCGAGGCUCAACCUCGGGUCUGCAGUCGAUACGGGCAAACUGGAGUGUUGCAGGGGAGACUGGAAUUCCUGGUGUAGCGGUGAAAUGCGCAGAUAUCAGGAGGAACACCGGUGGCGAAGGCGGGUCUCUGGGCAACAACUGACGCUGAGGAGCGAAAGCGUGGGGAGCGAACAGG